UACGUAGGGUGCAAGCGUUGUCCGGAAUUAUUGGGCGUAAAGAGCUCGUAGGCGGUUUGUCGCGUCUGCUGUGAAAAUCCAGGGCUUAACCCUGGACCUGCAGUGGGUACGGGCAGACUGGAGUGCGGUAGGGGAGAUCGGAAUUCCUGGUGUAGCGGUGAAAUGCGCAGACAUCAGGAGGAACACCGGUGGCGAAGGCGGAUCUCUGGGCCGUAACUGACGCUGAGGAGCGAAAGCAUGGGGAGCGAACAGG
RNAcentral lists this ribosomal RNA (253 nucleotides) under uncultured bacterium. RNAcentral describes it as "partial 16S ribosomal RNA". It matches the Rfam family "Bacterial small subunit ribosomal RNA", at positions 524 to 776 of the family's 1533-position model. The record is from RNAcentral.